UACAGAGGGUGCAAGCGUUGCUCGGAUUUACUGGGCGUAAAGCGUACGCAGACGGCCACGCAGGUCGGGUGUGAAAGCCCCGGGCUCAACCCGGGAAUUGCAUUCGAAACCAUGUGGCUCGAGUGUGGGAGAGGGUAGUGGAAUUCCUGGUGUAGAGGCGAAAUUCGUAGAUAUCAGGAGGAACACCGGCGGCGAAGGCGGCUACCUGGGUAGAUACUGACGCUGAGGCGCGAAAGCGUGGGGAGCAAACAGG
Molecule: ribosomal RNA, 253 nt
Filed under: uncultured bacterium
Lineage: Bacteria
Description: partial 16S ribosomal RNA
Rfam family: Bacterial small subunit ribosomal RNA
Source: RNAcentral